This is a long non-coding RNA of Engraulis encrasicolus (European anchovy), 541 nucleotides long. RefSeq lists it as uncharacterized. The record is from RefSeq and is a predicted model, not a curated record. The transcript is spliced from 3 exons. Lineage: Eukaryota; Metazoa; Chordata; Actinopteri; Clupeiformes; Engraulidae.
AGAAAAGAGUUGUCCUGAAGCCGUUGACGGCCGCGGACGAGCAUGGCUGCUCUACAUCCGGGGUUUCGCCGUCACUUCAUUUUGCUCAAAGGGUCCUGUGCAGCAACGGGGACGCCAUUGAGUGUCGUUGGCGUGUCGACCACUUCCCAGCUUUCUGUUGGUCUCCCACCCACCAGCAAACUGAAAACCUGCUGGAGCAAUCCUGGCGUAUUUCCCAAUAAGCUGUAGACUUGUGAUUCAAGCUGGAAGACACAAACCACUCAUAUGACCAAAAGGUUGAUGCUUUCAAUGCAUUGGAAGUUCCAGCAUGUUUCCAGUUCCAGUGAAUUCCAAUUCUUCAUGCAUUAUUGAUUUCACGAAAACACACACACACACACACACACACACACACACACACACACACACACACACGUCUUGUCAUGUACACAGACAUGCCGUUUUAUUCAUAGUUAUUUUGUUUGGGUUGUUUAUGUUUCUAUACCAAUAUAAUUAUUAUUAUUUGGAGUAAUUUUUCUUUCAAAUAAAAGAUUGAACCAUUCAA